GAAAUCUUCGGGUCUUGAGAGGAUAUUUUUACAAACCUCCCGUCUUUCGCCCCUGAUCCCGCAUCCGGCAUCUCCCAUUUCUCCUCCGGCACCUGCCCCGACUCCGCGGACGCCGUCCGCUGCCUACAACGUCUCCGGCGAGCUCCCCUGCCCCGCCAAGCAAGGAUGACUACUUAAGGCGUCUUGCUGACAGGAAGAGUGCGAAGUUUCAGAAGAACAUCACAAAGAGGGGCUCAGUGCCUGAAACUACUGUGAAGAAGGGGAAUGACUAUCCUGUUGGACCUAUCGUGCUUGGAUUCUUCAUCUUUGUGGUCAUAGGAUCAUCCUUGUUUCAGAUUAUCAGGACGGCUACUAGUGGUGGGAUGGCUUAAUAUCGAGCUAAAAACAAGACUAUCAUGAUCAGAGAUUUAUUAUCCAUGUGUUUGGGAGGCAAUAUCAUAUGUACCCUGUAGCAAACUUGCCCCUGAUGAUGUUAUGUAGAGAUUUAAAUCUUGUGCAGUCGUGUUUACCUCCUGUUACUAAGAACCUAGUCUAAACUAGAAACAAAAUGGUGCAAGUUGAAACUUUAAAAUUAUAUAAAACUUCAAAUAUGCAAGUUAAUAUUUUUUUUCUUUCUCUGUGAUGACACUUAGAAUAUCGGUAACUGGUACCAUAUCGGUUGGGUGUUGAGUAGAGAUUAAUCGGUGAAUCGGUCAUUUAACUGAAUUUAUCGGUAACCCAUUUAUGAAAGGUUAACUAGGGUCAUACAUGUAUGUCCUAGGCUAUUUAGCAGCAUGUAAUGUACUAAGUGUCUAAAUGUGCAAGCAAC
RNAcentral lists this ribosomal RNA (808 nucleotides) under Triticum aestivum (bread wheat). Its description in RNAcentral is "partial small subunit ribosomal RNA". Lineage: Eukaryota; Viridiplantae; Streptophyta; Magnoliopsida; Poales; Poaceae. The record is from RNAcentral.